RNAcentral lists this ribosomal RNA (726 nucleotides) under uncultured Delftia sp. Its description in RNAcentral is "bacterial SSU rRNA". It matches the Rfam family "Bacterial small subunit ribosomal RNA", at positions 22 to 745 of the family's 1533-position model. Lineage: Bacteria; Pseudomonadati; Pseudomonadota; Betaproteobacteria; Burkholderiales; Comamonadaceae. The record is from RNAcentral.
GCUCAGAUUGAACGCUGGCGGCAUGCCUUACACAUGCAAGUCGAACGGUAACAGGUCUUCGGACGCUGACGAGUGGCGAACGGGUGAGUAAUACAUCGGAACGUGCCCAGUCGUGGGGGAUAACUACUCGAAAGAGUAGCUAAUACCGCAUACGAUCUGAGGAUGAAAGCGGGGGACCUUCGGGCCUCGCGCGAUUGGAGCGGCCGAUGGCAGAUUAGGUAGUUGGUGGGAUAAAAGCUUACCAAGCCGACGAUCUGUAGCUGGUCUGAGAGGACGACCAGCCACACUGGGACUGAGACACGGCCCAGACUCCUACGGGAGGCAGCAGUGGGGAAUUUUGGACAAUGGGCGAAAGCCUGAUCCAGCAAUGCCGCGUGCAGGAUGAAGGCCUUCGGGUUGUAAACUGCUUUUGUACGGAACGAAAAAGCUUCUCCUAAUACGAGAGGCCCAUGACGGUACCGUAAGAAUAAGCACCGGCUAACUACGUGCCAGCAGCCGCGGUAAUACGUAGGGUGCGAGCGUUAAUCGGAAUUACUGGGCGUAAAGCGUGCGCAGGCGGUUAUGUAAGACAGAUGUGAAAUCCCCGGGCUCAACCUGGGAACUGCAUUUGUGACUGCAUGGCUAGAGUACGGUAGAGGGGGAUGGAAUUCCGCGUGUAGCAGUGAAAUGCGUAGAUAUGCGGAGGAACACCGAUGGCGAAGGCAAUCCCCUGGACCUGUACUGACG